AGGAAACGUUGGCUCAGAAAGAUAAGGAAACCGAAGCACAGAGAGGCAGGUCAUCUGGCUGAGGUCACACAGCCACACGGCGAGAGAGCAGUGAAGCUGGAGUUCCAGCAAGCUCCACCUGGCGAGAAUUCAAGCCCUGCCAUGGGCCACCUCUCUGGAGGAAGAGAAAGCCAGCUUCAGACUCUGCCUCUCUCAAUCCUUAUACAAGGCCAGAGAGCGCUUGAGGCUUCCAGGCACUCCUAUGCUUACACACCUUCCAUGGCUCCCAGCUGCCCUCCAGAUAAAGAACAAUCUCCUCAGUGUGGCCCUUGAGGUCCUGUGAUCUGGCCUCUGUCCACC
RNAcentral lists this long non-coding RNA (339 nucleotides) under Homo sapiens (human). RNAcentral's name for it is "non-protein coding lnc-DENND1A-1:1". Lineage: Eukaryota; Metazoa; Chordata; Mammalia; Primates; Hominidae. The record is from RNAcentral.